RNA transcript from Helianthus annuus (common sunflower), 1561 nucleotides. It is a transcript of the gene named oil body-associated protein 1A, with no coding region annotated. The record is from RefSeq and is a predicted model, not a curated record. Lineage: Eukaryota; Viridiplantae; Streptophyta; Magnoliopsida; Asterales; Asteraceae. The transcript has 5 exons.
UGUCAUCUCCUCCUUUUCUUUCUCUCUCUCAAAUUCCACAGAUCUAAGAUCUAGAUCUGCCCCUUUCUCUCGAUCACCUUUAAAUCAAAGAAGAAAAACAUGAAAUGCCAUGGAUUGAAGAUCUAGGGUUUAUGACAUCUUCUCUCAACGACCCAAUAACCCAUCCUUUUCUCUCUCCAGACGAUUUUGUAGAUCUAGGGUUUAUGGCAUCUACACUCAAAAUCGUUGAUGUUCCAGAAAUUGUUGUUCAAGUGCUUGAUCUGACACCAACCGGUAAUAGAUACAGAUCUGAGUCCUUUUCUCUCUCAAGGGAAGAUUUCAGCAUGUUUUCAUACAUUAUCUCUGCCGUACACGACGGCCGGAGUAACAGCGGCGGCCGGAGUAACACCGUGUGAGGCCACUGCUACAUCCUGUUGAGGGGAACUGUAGAGAUCAAUGGAGUCAUAAUCACUUCUUUUUCCACAGAAAUACUAAUGGAUUUUACCAAAAAAUCCCAGAUACAUUGACACUCGUGUGGAUGAACUGUUUCCCAGUAGGAAAAACAACAUGAGGCUUAAAAUGCUAUAUGUGAAAAAAAUGCUAAGGUCUGCAUCAAUGCAUCAUACAAUGUUCAUUUGCUAAAAUCUUGUUUGAUAAAAUGUGUUUCAAAUUUUGGUUUGCUAUUAUUAUUUUAGGAAAACAUUAAUGCUGAUCAUACUGAUGGUUUAAAUAACUCUUCUUUUUUCGUAAAGCUUGCUUCUGAUAGGCAACUGCAAUGUUCUGGGUACAUCAUAUGGUUUUUAUACAGCUAUACGCAUUUAUCUUUCUUAAUCUACAUGCUUUACUCAAUUGCCUCACUUUAUUGCGUUUUGCAGUGCAAAUGAUACGUGUGCUUCAACUUCAACUGCACAAUCUCACAUCAUAGCAAAAAAAUGUAGCGUAAGCACAUUUCGUAGUGUUAUGGAGCUAUCAGCAGGGGGUGAUAAAUCAUCUGGCUUUUCUAUUGAUAUGAGGAGAAUGAGCAGGAUAAAUGAGAAUGCGCGGUUGAUCGGGCUGGAAUACAUAGUAACUGAAGAACUGUUUUUAACUCUUCCGGACACCGAAAAACCGAUGUGGCAUAGCCACGAGUACGAGCUGAAGAGCGGCGUGCUCUUCCUUCCCGGUCCGGUUGAACAAAAAGAUCUCGAGAAAGUGGCGAAAACGUAUGGGAAGACCAUACACUUUUGGCAGGUAGAUAGAGGUGAUGAGCUGCCACUCGGGUUACCGCAGGUGAUGAUGGCGCUAACGUGACACGGGCACCUCUACCCGAGCCUCGCUAAAGGUUAUGGGACCUGCUGAUCUUCGGUACUUAUUUUUUUAGCAAUGGAUGUGAGCCGUCUAAAGUGAAUGAUCAAGGUGAAUGAUGAGCUAUCGAUGGGCUGUAGUUAGGAAGAGUUCCAAGACUUCCAAGUUAAAAUUCAAGUUUUAAAUGGUUUUUAGGACAAUCUUUAUGUGAAAUAUAGUCAGGAAGAGUUCCAAGACUGCAACGUUUUCCUAUUGUACUUUUUGCUUACUACAAAACCUACAUAAUAGGUUUCAUAAA